CCAAGCUCCACUCUUGUGAUUUUGAUGCAAAUUUUAGAUUUACGCCUCACUACCAGGAGGCGCUGAUGUCACUUCUCUACAUGCAUAGCUUGUAUCACUGAUUUUAACACACAACUAAAGAUAUCGUGACGUCAUGUUCCCGCGAAAUUUGUCGCCGCGUUUUUCAAUUGUUUCAAAAUUUAAAGAGACAAAAGAAAUAUGGCGCACAUGGUUGCACAUGGUGUGAUGGUGGCAGCGUAGGUGAUUGAAUUUCCAGUUUUUUCUAGGUGUUUAGGUUUGUCAAUAACUUCUGCUGAUGAGAUGCAGUAACAGGAGGAGAAGCUAGAAAUUAAAAAGAGGAAGAAACUAUGCAUCAUCAGAGGGUGUAUUAAGGAAAACAGCAGGAUGUUCUCCUUCCCCUUAGAGAGAAAAGAUAAGAAGAGGAUGGCACAGUGGAUGGAAGUAUGUGACAACCCAAAGAAAUUCUGAGUGAUCUGUAGUAGCUACUUUAAAGAAAAAUACUUCAUGAGGAAAAGAUUAACAACAUCAGCAGUUCCAACACUGAACUUACUUGUGUCAGAGACUACCUCUAUUAAAAUAGAGCAACAAGACAC
Osmia bicornis bicornis is the source of this 593-nucleotide long non-coding RNA. RefSeq lists it as uncharacterized. The record is from RefSeq and is a predicted model, not a curated record. The transcript has 4 exons. NCBI's taxonomy places the organism in Eukaryota, Metazoa, Arthropoda, Insecta, Hymenoptera, Megachilidae.